Molecule: ribosomal RNA, 464 nt
Filed under: uncultured archaeon
Lineage: Archaea
Description: bacterial SSU rRNA
Rfam family: Archaeal small subunit ribosomal RNA
Source: RNAcentral
UGGUUGAUCCCGCCGGACCUGACUGCUAUCGGAUUGAUACUAAGCCAUGCGAGUCUUUGUAGUAAUACAAGGCAGACGGCUCAGUAACACGUAGUCAACCUACCCUAUGGACGAGAAUAAUCUCGGGAAACUGAGCAUAAUUCUUGAUAGAUCAUAAUGCCUGGAAUGGUUUAUGGUUAAAAUGAUUCGUCGCCAUAGGAUGGGACUGCGGCCUAUCAGCUUGUUGGUGAGGUAAUGGCCCACCAAGGCGAUUACAGGUACGGGCUCUGAGAGGAGAAGCCCGGAGAUGGGUACUGAGACACGGACCCAGGCCCUAUGGGGCGCAGCAGGCGAGAAAACUUUGCAAUGUGCGAAAGCACGACAAGGUUAAUCCGAGUGAUUUCUGCUAAAGAAAUCUUUUGCCAGUCGUAAAACCGCUGAUGAAUAAGGGGUGGGCAAGUUCUGGUGCCAGCAGCCGCGGUAAU